Molecule: long non-coding RNA, 639 nt
Filed under: Nicotiana benthamiana
Lineage: Eukaryota; Viridiplantae; Streptophyta; Magnoliopsida; Solanales; Solanaceae
Description: long non-coding RNA (NBEN_LNC030428)
Source: RNAcentral
UCAAAUAUGUAUAUAUACUUUUUCGAAAUUAUGUAUAUUAUAUUCUAACUCAAAGCGUGAUUUCACGUGAACCACAUUUUAUACCGCGGAUCCGGCCCUGCAUACAUGUAUUGAAAUACCAGCUCCACUCCAAAUUGCAUUUUUAACCUUAGUAAUAAUUUUUUAACUUGUUGCAGGCACAUAUUUAACUUGGUCAGAAGUUUCAGGUUAUUCAAACCUCAUGUUCAGUCAAAGGUCACACGACAAUUUGCAACCGAGGGAGCAUACAAACUUUUAGAGGUUGUUUUUAUAUACACAGAUUGAGAUAAAGGUAAAUUUUAUGUGAUAUGGAAACUUUACUUCAACAAGUUUCUUGGGUUUCUUUCCAUAUACAGAUUGAGAACUUACUCUUCCGAAAUGGCAUAUAACUGAAACUUGGGAUUGCACUGGAUGAAAACAAUUGCAGGUUCUCGAUGAAAAGAAAACCUUGAAGCUAUAGCAUGCACAGAGUAAACACAAAAACCAACUCACUCAAACUGCAAUAGACGCACUCUGUGAUACGAAUGCACCUAUAUAGCAACACAAUGUAGGCAACAGUCACAUAUAUGUCGAACUUCUGAUAACAUAAUAAGCAAAAGUGUGAAUUUACACAAACUUCAG